This 253-nucleotide ribosomal RNA is filed under the name uncultured bacterium. RNAcentral describes it as "partial 16S ribosomal RNA". It matches the Rfam family "Bacterial small subunit ribosomal RNA", at positions 524 to 776 of the family's 1533-position model. The record is from RNAcentral.
UACGGAGGAUCCGAGCGUUAUCCGGAUUUAUUGGGUUUAAAGGGAGCGUAGGCGGGUUGUUAAGUCAGUUGUGAAAGUUUGCGGCUCAACCGUAAAAUUGCAGUUGAAACUGGCAGUCUUGAGUACUGGAGAGGCAGACGGAAUUCCUAGUGUAGCGGUGAAAUGCGUAGAUAUUAGGAGGAACACCAGUGGCGAAGGCGGUCUGCUGGACAGCAACUGACGCUGAGGCGCGAAAGCGUGGGGAGCAAACAGG